RNAcentral lists this ribosomal RNA (292 nucleotides) under uncultured bacterium. RNAcentral describes it as "partial 16S ribosomal RNA". It matches the Rfam family "Bacterial small subunit ribosomal RNA", at positions 505 to 796 of the family's 1533-position model. The record is from RNAcentral.
GUGUCAGCAGCCGCGGUAAGACAGAGGGUGCAAACGUUGCUCGGAAUCACUGGGCGUAAAGCGCGUGUAGGCGGACCGGCAAGUCAGGUGUGAAAUCCCUGGGCUCAACCCAGGAACUGCAUCUGAAACUUCCGGUCUGGAGUGUCGGAGAGGGAAGCGGAAUUCCGGGUGUAGAGGUGAAAUUCGUAGAUAUCCGGAGGAACACCGGUGGCGAAGGCGGCUUCCUGGACGACUACUGACGCUGAGACGCGAAAGCGUGGGGAGCAAACAGGAUUAGAAACCCGCGUAGUCC